This 260-nucleotide ribosomal RNA is filed under the name uncultured prokaryote. RNAcentral describes it as "partial 16S ribosomal RNA". It matches the Rfam family "Bacterial small subunit ribosomal RNA", at positions 524 to 782 of the family's 1533-position model. The record is from RNAcentral.
UACGGAGGAUCCGAGCGUUAUCCGGAUUUAUUGGGUUUAAAGGGUGCGUAGGCGGCCUUGUAAGUCAGCGGUGAAAUUUUGCAGCUUAACUGUAAAAGUGCCGUUGAUACUGUGAGGCUAGGAUUUGGUUGCUGUGGGUGGAAUGUGUGGUGUAGCGGUGAAAUGCUUAGAGAUCACACAGAAUAUCGAUUGCGAAGGCAGCUCACAAAGCCAAGAUUGACGCUGAGGCACGAAAGUGUGGGGAGUCAAACAGGAUUAGA